AUCUUGCCUUGAGGACAUGGGGCACAAUCAUAGCAGCAGAAUGGCUCCCCCUCCUUCUUCUCCUUACUGGAACCAGGAGGGCAACUUGGGUUACAUACAGAAAGGGGUGGAACCUGCCCAUUUAAAUAAACACAUAAACAGUUUAGCACACAGAAAUUAGCUAGAACUAGCAAGCACUGAACAACAUAUUCCAAAAUCAGGGUCAAAUUACCCUUUCUGCUUUCCAUGGUUUUAAAACAGAAUGCUGAAACUGACCAUCUUUGAGCCCCGUUCUGCACAGAAUGCAUGAGGACUCAAUUUGGGAAGAGGAUUGGGGGCUUAUCUUCAUAAGCUCUGCCCCCAUUAUCCCCAUAUACAAAAGGAAUACCUGUUCCACCCCCAAUUUUUCAUUCUUAGCACAUGUAAAAGUUUAUGCCUUCAGGAGAGGACAGUAGUGUAGUGCCAAUUGUUGUUUAGUCAUUUAGUCGUGUCCAACUCUUCGUUACCGCAUGGACCAGAGCACGCCAGGCACUCCUGUCUUCCACUGCCUCCCUCAGCUUGGUGAGACUCAUGUUGGCAGCUUCAAGAACACUGUCCACCCAUCUCAUCCUCUGUUUUCCCCUUCUCCUUGUGCCCUCAAUCUUUCCCAACAUCAGGGUCUUUUCCAGGGAGUCUUCUCUUCUCAUGAGGUGGCCAAAGUAUUGGAGUCUCAGCUUCACGAUCUGUCCUUCCAGUGAACACUCAGGGCUGAUUUCCUUAAGAAUGGGUAUAGGAAUUAUGCCCCACCUGGUAAAAGCUACUGUGCCACACCAUUCUGUUGUCAUCAAUGGAUGUUUUCUUUCCCGGGGCAGCUUCCACAUCCACCCUUCCAACCUUGACCCUCACAAAGGAAUUAUUUGGAAAAGUGACCAGGUUUGUGUCUGAGAAGGCCAAGCAUAUGCCUUUCUGGGAGAGCAGAGGUUUCAGGGCCUGAAUAAAUCUCUCUCCACUGUCAUUAUCUCCAGCAAGCAACCCAACCCACGUCCAACCAAAGUGAAGAAGUAACUUAACAAUC
This is a long non-coding RNA of Podarcis raffonei (Aeolian wall lizard), 1033 nucleotides long. RefSeq lists it as uncharacterized. The transcript is spliced from 3 exons. The record is from RefSeq and is a predicted model, not a curated record. Lineage: Eukaryota; Metazoa; Chordata; Lepidosauria; Squamata; Lacertidae.